This 414-nucleotide long non-coding RNA is filed under the name Mytilus galloprovincialis (Mediterranean mussel). The record is from RNAcentral. Lineage: Eukaryota; Metazoa; Mollusca; Bivalvia; Mytilida; Mytilidae.
AUAAUACAUAUAUAAACUGAAAAAUGGAUAUAUAAUUGGAGCAGUUCAUUCAAGAAUUAUGUCAUUAAGGUGUGUUGAUGUGCAGGCUUUUUUUAAAAACAUUUUGAAUAGGUAAUUGGGUAUUGAUACAAUACUAGUAUGAUUGACAACUGUCAUUAUCACUAAAUAAUCAGAGACAAGGUAGACCUUUAAUUACAAUGACCCACCUCCUAAACUGUCAAUAAAUUGACCACAUUACCUCAGUUUUACAUAAUUAUACAGACCAGUCACACUGCAAUAUACAUUCUAAUAUACAAAUAUUUGACCUCAAAAUUGAAUACACAAAUGUAUUAUAUUAGAUGUUUAAUAUAUAUAAAGAUGAUAGAUUUAUUUAUUGCCUAUUAGUUUUGAUCUACAUUACAUAAAGUGAUUCUG